GGCGGCAUGCCUUACACAUGCAAGUCGAACGGUAGAGUAGCAAUACUUGAGAGUGGCGGAACGGUGAGUAAUAUAUCGGAACGUGCCCAGUCGUGGGGGAUAACGUAGACGAAAGCUACGCUAAUACCGCAUACGAUCUAUGGAUGAAAGCGGGGAUCGCAAGACCUCGCGCGAUUGGAGCGGCCGAUAUCAGAUUAGGUAGUUGGUGAGGUAAAGGCUCACCAAGCCGACGAUCUGUAGCUGGUCUGAGAGGACGACCAGCCACACUGGGACUGAGACACGGCCCAGACUCCUACGGGAGGCAGCAGUGGGGAAUUUUGGACAAUGGGCGCAAGCCUGAUCCAGCAAUGCCGCGUGCAGGAUGAAGGCCUUCGGGUUGUAAACUGCUUUUGUACGGGACGAAACGGUGAGCUCUAAUACAGUUUGCUAAUGACGGUACCGUAAGAAUAAGCACCGGCUAACUACGUG
Molecule: ribosomal RNA, 468 nt
Filed under: uncultured bacterium
Lineage: Bacteria
Description: bacterial SSU rRNA
Rfam family: Bacterial small subunit ribosomal RNA
Source: RNAcentral